AACCUAGCACACCUGCGGUGUGUACCUGCGGAAGGAUCAUUACCGAGUUUACAACUCCCAAACCCCAAUGUGAACGUUACCAAUCUGUUGCCUCGGCGGGAUUCUCUUGCCCCGGGCGCGUCGCAGCCCCGGAUCCCAUGGCGCCCGCCGGAGGACCAACUCCAAACUCUUUUUUCUCUCCGUCGCGGCUCCCGUCGCGGCUCUGUUUUAUUUUUGCUCUGAGCCUUUCUCGGCGACCCU
Molecule: unclassified non-coding RNA, 240 nt
Filed under: soil metagenome
Description: partial contains 5.8S ribosomal RNA, internal transcribed spacer 2, and large subunit ribosomal RNA
Source: RNAcentral